UGAAUAUUGAUGGGAAUAGGUGCUUUGAUGCUUAAAAGGGAAGUUCGGUGUAAUUCCGGCACGGUCCCGCCACUGUGAUGGGGAGCCUGUUUAUUGUCAGGUUAUAGUUUGCCUGUAAUACUGACAACCACUGGAAAACUGGGAAGGUAUAGACAGGUGAUGAUCUGAAGCCAGGAGACCUGCCUGUUCUGACACACACCG
This 201-nucleotide non-coding RNA is filed under the name Propionispora sp. 2/2-37. RNAcentral also lists the same sequence under 1 other name. The record is from RNAcentral. Lineage: Bacteria; Bacillati; Bacillota; Negativicutes; Selenomonadales; Sporomusaceae.